UGGUGGCCAGCGCGGACGGCGAGCUGCACCUCAGCCACAACGGCUCGGCCGCCGGCAUGCAGCUGUGCGUGGACGCCUCGCAGCCGCUCUGGAUGCUCUUCGGCCUCCACGGGGACAUCACGCAGAUCCGCAUCCUCGGCUCCACCAUCCUGGCAGAGCGAGGUACCCCAUCACUCCCCUGCUCCCCCGCCUCCACGCCAACCUCGCCCAGCGCCCUGGGCAGCCGUCUAUCUGACCCCUUGCUCAGCACGUGCAGCUCUGGCCCUCUGGGUAGCUCUGCUGGUGGGACAGCCCCCAACUCACCAGUGAGCCUGCCUGAGUCACCAGUGACCCCAGGUCUGGGCCAGUGGAGCGAUGAGUGCACCAUUUGCUAUGAACACGCAGUGGACACGGUCAUCUACACAUGUGGCCACAUGUGCCUCUGCUAUACCUGUGGCCUGCGCCUCAAGAAGGCUCUGCACGCCUGCUGCCCCAUCUGCCGCCGCCCCAUCAAGGACAUCAUCAAGACCUACCGCAGCUCCUAGCCCAUUGCGGUGGGCCACCCCACACGCCCACCUCCUCGGGCUUCUGCCCAGCCCCAGCUGAGGAACAAGCCAGUGGGGCCCCUUCUCUUCCUCAUUUUGGAAACU
Molecule: RNA transcript, 629 nt
Organism: Sapajus apella (tufted capuchin)
Lineage: Eukaryota; Metazoa; Chordata; Mammalia; Primates; Cebidae
Gene name: E3 ubiquitin-protein ligase NEURL1 pseudogene
Exons: 1
Source: RefSeq, a predicted model, not a curated record